Varanus komodoensis (Komodo dragon) is the source of this 3636-nucleotide long non-coding RNA. RefSeq lists it as uncharacterized. Lineage: Eukaryota; Metazoa; Chordata; Lepidosauria; Squamata; Varanidae. The transcript is spliced from 2 exons. The record is from RefSeq and is a predicted model, not a curated record.
UGGCUGAGGCGUUUGCUUGUGGUCGCCUCGGCGGCUUUCUGACGGGCCGAGUGGAAGCGGACGGAAGGAAAAGGUGGUGGCUGCGUGCUAACGCGCGCGUCCGCUCGCCUCACCGGGCCGGGCGGCGAACGGCGGUGGUUGUGUGGGGCCAGGCGCCCUGUCGAAGGAGGUCGGCAAAAACGGCGGAGGAGCCGGGGCCGUGUGGAGGCGUUACCUGCUUCGGGCGCUAGGUGGCGCCCGGGGCCCGCUGCAGUGGACGGCGGCUGCUAAUUGCAAAGCCGGUUAGGCGGCCGUUGUCUUCUGGGUGGCUGAGUGAAGGCCCCGAUCUUAACCUAGGCACGUCUGCUUGGGAGGAAAUCCCGUGUGAUGAAUAAACGGGUUUAGCAGAUCUACCUGGAUGCUAUGCUCGACAUCUGAGGCCUGCCCUCUGACUGUGCUACCUCUGGGGGAGGUUCAGUUGGUGGCACCCUUCUCAGCGUGGCUCCCAUAUUUUGAAAUGAUCUCCCCUCUAAGGGCCGCGGGGUACCAAGUUUUAACCUUUCGGUGCCAGGUUAAGACUUACUGUUGGGGCGUACAAUGGCAUUUAAUGGCUUUUGUUUGGAUAUGGGGGGGGCUUAUGUCAGCUGUUUUUAACAAGGCCUGUGUUUAUUGUUUAGGUUUGGUUUGUAAAUUCAAAGAUUGUUAAAGAUUUGGUUGCAGCUAAUUACUGCAUGUGCAUUUUAUACUAUAUUUAAUGUGUUUUGUGAAUUGGUGUAAACUGCAGCAAAAGCUUCAGCUGUUGGGCAGCAUAGAAAUAAAAUAAUAGCAAUAAUAAUAUUGCACAGCCCUGUGUGAUUCCUACCCUGACUCAGGAGUAAAGGUGCAAUGCUAAGUGUAGGCCUUUUUUCCUGUCUAAACACAACGCCCAACAUGCCCCAGAAGUAUGAUUGACUGGGGCAUAAUGGGAAUUGUAGGAUUUUUUUUUUCUGUGUAAACACCACAUAGCAUUGUGGUUUCUUUAAGUCUGUGAGGCUUGUUUCUUGAAUAAACCUACUUAGGGUUAAGAUGACUGGCUCCAAUCUUGAGUGUAGUUAUUUAGGAAAUAAACCCCAUUGAGCAUAACAACACUUAAUUCAGUGUAAACAUGGGAAAUUCUGAAAUGCAGAUCUGCAAUCCAAGGCACGCUAAAUAAGGAUAAUGUUCUAUUUAAAGUGCAGUAGCUGUGUUCUUCAUUGCAGCAGAGAGAAAGGGCAUAUGUUUUAGAGGUCUGGAUGUGAACUCUGUUCUAUGACUUGCUGUUUUCAGUCUGUUCACCUUUAUAGUGCUUCAAGGCUAAAGUAUUUAUUUUGGUCCUGUCUUAAAAUUAGGAUAUUACAGCAUUGGGAAAGAUGCAGAAAAGGGCAACCAAAAUGACCCAGGGGCUGGAACAACAUCUGGGCCUGGGAUUAUUUUGCUUAGAAAAAAAAGUUGGUACAGGGUGACAUGGCAGAAUUGUACAUGAUGUGCAGAAAUUGGAUAAGGAAUUUCCUAAUAAUGCUCAGAUGCAGGUGUAUCCCAUGAAGCUGAUCUGUGGGGAAUUAAGGACAAAUAAAAGAAGGCAUUUAGUAUCACAAUUUAGUACCACAAGAGGCAGCAAUGGCUACCAAAUUUAUGGAAGAUGAGGCUGUCAAUGAUGGCUAUAACCUACUAGUCAUGGUGGCUAUAACGAUGCCUGUAUAUAGCAGUUGCGGGGGGUGGGGUGGAGAAUGUUGUGCUCAUAUCCUACUCUUGAGUUUCCUCCAUUCAGCUAGUUGCCUCCAGGGUAAACAUGGGACUAGAAAAACCCUGUGGUUGCAUUGGUGUGAGUAGUCCUGUGACAGGAGUGAGUCACAAAACCACCAGCUAGUUAUCUUGCUAGAUAGUUCUUCAAAGAUAUAUGCAUGUUAUCUCCUUCAAACAUGAUUAGAUUGACUGCAUACAAAUCAAAUUAUACACACAGAACAAACUGGUUUUGAAGGUAGUUACAGCCAAGAACAAUGGACAUUCUAAAAUACCUAAGAAGGAAAUAUACUAAGAGUAUGAAAAAGUAUCUUUUUGCAUCAUUUAUUGAUCUUUCUGCUGCAUUUGUUUCUUUUGGCAGAAGUAGAUAGUGGGAAAAGUUAUGAAGCACUAAUAUUGACCAGAGACAGCUAAUGCUGAUAAAGAAAUUAUAUUCUAAGACAGAAAGAUUAUAAUUCUCAUUCCCUUGUAAUCACAAAUAGAAAGAUUUUUAUCUUGAUGUACGUAGAUGAUAUAGUACUAAUCUCUCCCACAUGGGUUAGAAAAGUCUUCUAAAUGCAUUUAGUAUUUAUUGCAAACAUGAAGGUUUGCCAAUAACAUUCUGAGACAAUGGUUUUUGGCAGUCAUAGACAUAAGUACAGAUCUCUUCUGGACCAACACGUUAUUGAACUCAUUCAUUUAGACACUUGGGCAUCCAUUAAAAUAAGUCUCAUGGAAAGAGCAGAGGGAGGCAGUGAAAUUGAAAGCACAGAAAACUAUAGGGACAUUAAAGAAGUUGUAUUAUAAUAAAAGUGGGCAGCUGUUAGAACCUACUCUUAAAGUUUAUAAUAGCAAAAUGAUCAUGCAAAUAGUUUAUGGGGCUGAAGUUUGCACAGUGGGCACUACCACCAUAAAUGUUUUGGAAACUAACAUUUAAAAAAAAAACACAGCUAUUCUCUUUUACCCUUGACCUCUGCAGCUUUUUUGCACACCAAGUCAGGAUGACCAUUGAUCAGAAUAAGAACAGAUUGCCCUCAUUAGGAUAUUUUAAAUUAAUUGUCUUCCAAAUGAAAAAUUACCACUUAUGUACUAUUUGGAAAUAAAUAAAAAUAUGAUUGGAAGUUAACGUUCAUUAAUCUGGUGCAUUACUACUACUUUUCAGAGUUGAAUUUCACCUUUGCUAUGGAUAAGGGACAAUCAAGGGAUACGUUCUUUUGGAUAGAUUCUAGGAGGGACCUGCAAUCUUUAAGAACUCUAGAUUUUCUCAAAUUUCUUUUAAAAACAGGACAUUUCAGAGCCAGCUAUCUGUUCAUAUUGAGAAGAUCCGUAGGAAAUGCUUUUACUGGACUACAGUUUCAAAUUAUACCAACUGUACUUCUGGAUGGACAAUAUAAUAAGGUGGCUUUUGAAUGCUUUUGUGGUUUGUAUCAAAUGGAAGACACUAUUCAUUAUAUGUUACUCUGCUCUUUAUAUAGGGACCCUAGAAAGGUUCUUAAAAACCGUGUUAGCUUACUGAUCUAAGAAUGCCCUGACAGAAAUGGUUUAUUUUCUUCUGAGCUGUGCCAAUGAGUGUGACAUAUAAAGUAGCCUUGCUUGUCUUGGCAGCAGAACAGAUAAGAGAGAAUCAGAUCAAAUUGCUCUAAACUGGUCCAGAGAUUCAAAGAGUUAAGUUAGAGAUGAAUUUUGUCUACAAUAAAUUUUAAUGUAUUUGUAUUAUUUUGUAACAUCUGAAAUCUGAAACUUUCAUAUUUGUCAUGUCCUAUGGCUAGUACAGUUAAUUUCUAGAAUGAAUAUUACUGGCAUAGCUGUGUAAUUCUAGAAUCAAAAAGCUCACUUCCCAGAAGCAUAGAUGUUUAGAAAUUAACAAUUCAAACAUUUUUGUGAACUUUAUUUAUUUUUAUAAAAUUUUCAGAAGCUUAA